This 253-nucleotide ribosomal RNA is filed under the name uncultured bacterium. RNAcentral's name for it is "partial 16S ribosomal RNA". It matches the Rfam family "Bacterial small subunit ribosomal RNA", at positions 524 to 776 of the family's 1533-position model. The record is from RNAcentral.
UACGAAGGGGGCUAGCGUUGCUCGGAAUUACUGGGCGUAAAGCGCGCGCAGGCGGUCUGCUAAGUUUGGAGUGACAGUUGGUGGCUUAACUGCCAAAGUGCUUCGAAAACUGACAGACUUGAGGGCUUCAGAGGGACACGGAAUUCCGGGUGGAGUGGUGAAAUGCGUAGAGAUCCGGAGGAACACCAAAGGCGAAGGCAGUGUCCUGGGGAGUACCUGACGCUCAGGUGCGAAAGCCAGGGGAGCGAACGGG